RNAcentral lists this ribosomal RNA (1404 nucleotides) under uncultured fungus. RNAcentral describes it as "eukaryotic LSU rRNA". The stretch from base 696 to 1404 matches the Rfam family "Eukaryotic large subunit ribosomal RNA", at positions 1 to 618 of the family's 3401-position model. Lineage: Eukaryota; Fungi. The record is from RNAcentral.
GGCUUGUAUUUCUUAAAAGAAUACACGGUCUCCCUUCCAUCACGUUGAGGAUCCUAUACGUUCGUUCGUUCGUUCGUUCUUUAGCUUAGCUUAGUUUCUUUCUUUAUGGGAUCCUCCGUUCUUGAGGGAGGCUUUAAGCCUUUAACUCAACAUCUUGUGAACUGUUCUGUUUCUGGCGGGUGGAUGGAGUUUUCUUCGUUUGUCAGCUCGGCAUCUAUGCCAAGCCGUGGACAUCCCGCCGACCGUUUGCAUAACUUCUGUCUUUUUUUAAUUUUAUUCUGACAUUUUGUAUGAAUAAUACAAACAACUUUUGGCAACGGAUCUCUUGGCUCUCGCAACGAUGAAGAACGCAGCGAAAUGCGAUAAGUAAUGUGAAUUGCAGAAUUCAGUGAAUCAUCGAAUCUUUGAACGCACAUUGCGCUCCCUGGUAUUCCGGGGAGCAUGCCCGUUUCAGAAUCCUUAAAAAUCUCACAAACUCGGUGCUUUCGAGCAACGUGCGAGUGGAUUUGGAUGUUUUUGCGCUUUGCAAUCAUCUGAAAAUGAUAGUGUGUGCACCAAUUGGUUCAUCCGUUGGGUUCCGAAGUGCAACAGAUUUAUCUAUUCACGGAGGUUAACUUUGACAGAUUGCCAGACGGCGCACAUUCUCCUACCAUGAUACGGAGGUUGCACCAGCUAGGUGUCGAUUUCUGAUAACUUGGUCUGAAAUCGGGCAAGAAAACCCGCUGAACUUAAGCAUAUCAAUAAGCGGAGGAAAAGAAACUAACAAGGAUUCCCCUAGUAACGGCGAGUGAAGCGGGAACAGCUCAAAUUUGAAAUCUCGCAGGGCCACCUGUGCGAAUUGUAGUUUAGAGAAGCGUUUUCGGGGGCGACUUGGGUAUAAGUCCUCUGGAAAGAGGCAUCAUAGAGGGUGACAAUCCCGUUUAUGAUCCAAUGUUCGCUCCUAUGUGAUACGUUUUCUAAGAGUCAGGUAGUUUGGGAUUGCUGCCUAAAAUGGGUGGUAAAUACCAUCUAAAGCUAAAUAAUGGCGAGAGACCGAUAGCGAACAAGUACCGUGAGGGAAAGAUGAAAAGAACUUUGAAAAGAGAGUUAAACAGUACGUGAAAUUGCCAAAAGGGAAACGCUUGGAACCAGUAUUGCCGGCAGGUAAUCAGCCGCACGUCCCGAAAGGGGUGCGUGCGGUGCACUUGCCUGCCGGCGGGUCAACAUCAGUUCGGCAUGGGGUAAAAAGCCAGAGGAAGGUAGCUUGGACUUCGGUCUGAGUGUUAUAGCCUCUGGUUAUGCCCUGGGCUGGACUGAGGGCUGCAGCGUUAUUUGGAUUGCCGAUCGCCUCCCGAAGCUUCUGCGCAGACAGCUUGCUGACUGUGUUGGAGAUUAGGGAGCCCGGUCGGUUCAUCACACCAACGC